RNAcentral lists this ribosomal RNA (867 nucleotides) under uncultured bacterium. RNAcentral's name for it is "bacterial SSU rRNA". It matches the Rfam family "Bacterial small subunit ribosomal RNA", at positions 576 to 1456 of the family's 1533-position model. The record is from RNAcentral.
CGGAAUGUUAAGUCAGUGGUGAAAGCCUGCAGCUCAACUGCAGAACUGCCAUUGAUACUGACAUUCUUGAGUAUUGUUGAGGUAGGCGGAAUGUGUCAUGUAGCGGUGAAAUGCUUAGAUAUGACACAGAACACCGAUCGCGAAGGCAGCUUACCAAGCAAUAACUGACGCUCAUGCACGAAAGCGUGGGGAUCAAACAGGAUUAGAUACCCUGGUAGUCCACGCCGUAAACGAUGAUCACUCGAUGUUGGCGAUACACAGUCAGCGUCUUAGGGAAACUAUUAAGUGAUCCACCUGGGGAGUACGGUCGCAAGAUUGAAACUCAAAGGAAUUGACGGGGGCCCGCACAAGCGGAGGAGCAUGUGGUUUAAUUCGAUGAUACGCGAGGAACCUUACCUGGGCUCGAACGUGGAAUGACAGUCGCGGAAACGUGAUCUUCUUCGGACAUUCUACGAGGUGCUGCAUGGUUGUCGUCAGCUCGUGCCGUGAGGUGUCGGGUUAAGUCCCAUAACGAGCGCAACCCCUAUCUUUAGUUGCCAUCAGGUAAUGCUGGGGACUCUAAAGAAACUGCCUACGCAAGUAGUGAGGAAGGCGGGGAUGACGUCAAAUCAGCACGGCCCUUACGUCCAGGGCUACACACGUGCUACAAUGGCCGGUACAGAGGGCAGCUACCUGGUGACAGGAUGCAAAUCUCCAAAGCCGGUCUCAGUUCGGAUCGAAGUCUGAAACUCGACUUCGUGAAGUUGGAUUCGCUAGUAAUCGCGCAUCAGCCAUGGCGCGGUGAAUACGUUCCCGGGCCUUGUACACACCGCCCGUCAAGCCAUGGAAGCUUGGGGUACCUGAAGUUCGUGACCGACAAGGAGCGAC